This 257-nucleotide signal recognition particle RNA is filed under the name Microcaldota archaeon. Its description in RNAcentral is "signal recognition particle sRNA large type". It matches the Rfam family "Bacterial large signal recognition particle RNA". From Rfam's summary of the family: The signal recognition particle (SRP) is a universally conserved ribonucleoprotein involved in the co-translational targeting of proteins to membranes. Lineage: Archaea; Nanobdellati; Microcaldota. The record is from RNAcentral.
GUGGGCUAGAUGGGAGUUAGGGGUCCCCAUUCCGCAAAUCCCCUUUAGGCGGGUCGAAAACCUGAAGAGUGGUUCGUUCUUUGUGCGUCCUUUGUCCUAGGCGCUGAAGUCUUCCCUUCCAGGAUGGUAGCUCUGCACGAACCUGGCCAGACCGGAAGGAGCAGCCAUAAGUGCUUUGCGCCAUGCUUGGGAGACCGGAGGUGGAGCUGAUGGCUUUGGCUCCGUGCGGGGAGUGGAUUGCAACUCAGGGUGCCCAC